Molecule: ribosomal RNA, 253 nt
Filed under: uncultured bacterium
Lineage: Bacteria
Description: partial 16S ribosomal RNA
Rfam family: Bacterial small subunit ribosomal RNA
Source: RNAcentral
GACAGAGGGUGCGAACGUUGUUCGGAAUUACUGGGCGUAAAGCGCGUGUAGGCGGCAAUGCAAGUCGGGCGUGAAACCCCACGGCUCAACCGUGGAAGUGCACUCGAAACUGCAUAGCUAGAGUCCUGGAGAGGAAGGUGGAAUGCUUGGUGUAGAGGUGAAAUUCGUAGAUAUCAAGCGGAACACCGGUGGCGAAGGCGGCCUUCUGGACAGUGACUGACGCUGAGACGCGAAAGCGUGGGGAGCAAACAGG